Molecule: ribosomal RNA, 452 nt
Filed under: uncultured bacterium
Lineage: Bacteria
Description: bacterial SSU rRNA
Rfam family: Bacterial small subunit ribosomal RNA
Source: RNAcentral
AGCGCGGAGUAGCAAUACUUGGCGGCGACCGGCGCACGGGUGAGUAACACGUAUGCAACCAACCCAUAACAGGGGGAUAACCCGGAGAAAUCCGGACUAAUACGCAUAAGACCACGAUAUCGCAUGAUAUAGAGGUCAAAUAUUUAUAGGUUAGUGGACGGGCAUGCGUCUGAUUAGCUGGUGGCGGGGUAACGGCCCACCAAGGCAUCGAUCAGUAGGGGUUCUGAGAGGAAGGUCCCCCACAUUGGAACUGAGACACGGUCCAAACUCCUACGGGAGGCAGCAGUGAGGAAUAUUGGUCAAUGGGCGAAAGCCUGAACCAGCCAUGUCGCGUGAAGGAUGAAGGUCCUAUGGAUUGUAAACUUCUUUUGCAGGAGGGUAAAGUGAGCUACGUGUAGUUCAUUGCAAGUACCCUGCGAAUAAGCAUCGGCUAACUCCGUGCCAGCAGCAGC